UAUGUGAGCAGUAACUUUCUAUUUCCCCUAAGCAGCCAAAGUUCAAGUCUGAGACCACUCUAGCUCUGGAGUAGAGAUUACUGUUUCACUAAGUAAAGGUUCAAUGCAGAGCAUACCUUCAUUAUGUAUAACAGUCCCUCUUUAACCAUCAAACUCUCAUAUAUUUUUAAUAAUUAAAAUGAGUGGGAAAUGUUGUUACAUUUUUAUUAUUAAUUACGAAAUUUAAUAUAUGAAUUUAUGGUUAGUGA
This 248-nucleotide long non-coding RNA is filed under the name Ananas comosus (pineapple). RNAcentral's name for it is "long non-coding RNA (ACOM_LNC024327)". Lineage: Eukaryota; Viridiplantae; Streptophyta; Magnoliopsida; Poales; Bromeliaceae. The record is from RNAcentral.